RNAcentral lists this ribosomal RNA (247 nucleotides) under uncultured bacterium. Its description in RNAcentral is "partial 16S ribosomal RNA". It matches the Rfam family "Bacterial small subunit ribosomal RNA", at positions 524 to 770 of the family's 1533-position model. The record is from RNAcentral.
UACGUAGGGGGCAAGCGUUGUCCGGAGUACUGGCGUAAAGCGCACGCAGGCGGUCUCUUAAGUUUGGAGUGACAGUUGGUGGCUUAACUGCCAAAGUGCUUCGAAAACUGAGAGACUUGAGGGCUUCAGAGGGACACGGAAUUCCGGGUGGAGUGGUGGAAAUGCGUAGAAGAUCCGGAGGAACACCAAAGGCGAAAGGCAGUGUCCUGGGGAGUACCUGACGCUCAGGUGCGAAAGCCAGGGAGCG